Molecule: long non-coding RNA, 1113 nt
Filed under: Bemisia tabaci
Lineage: Eukaryota; Metazoa; Arthropoda; Insecta; Hemiptera; Aleyrodidae
Description: lncRNA ENSSSA2NGG013825
Source: RNAcentral
UCCAAAGAUAUUGGUCACGUCAUUAUUCUUAUUUUCUUUUACUUCCCAUGUCUCAUGUCUCAUCUCGGGAUAUCUCUCGGAAUCGGAUUCGGAUCUGUGCCGUGGUUUAGGUUUUGCUUCGUGGAGUCCGUGGUUCUCGGAUAUUCCAUUUUCACUUUAUCGUGAAAAGUUUCAUUAUAGUUUGUUCGUGCGAUGUAAAGUCUCAUUGAGCAUAACAGGAACUGCAUUGAUAUUCUCGCACUGUCAACUCAAUGGCUCGUCGGAGACAGGGGAGUCCCUGCACCAAUGGUAACGUUGACUCUGAUGAUUCGAAAGGAAGCCCAAAGAGUAAUGAAAAUGCAUGCCAGCACUGUGGUAAGAAACCCGUUCUUACGAAGGGAAUAAAUUAUCUUAUGCUUCUAAGGGAACGGUUUGCCAGAGAAAAUCUGCUGGGGAGCCAGUGUAAACAGUGCAAAUCAGAAGGUAGCUCACCAAAUCCAGAGGCUGGGUUGUACAUGUGCUUGAAAUGUGGACAAUUUGCCUGUGAUGAUAGUGGAAAGAAUCAUGCUCCACAACACUACGCUGCAGCGAGAAGCGAGCCACAUUUUAUUGGGCUGCAUAUGAAUGAUUGGACUUUUCGCUGUUUCAGAUGUAAUGAAGAACUAGACCAACACGCUGAUAGAAGUUACCUGAACUUGUCGUUACUCUCAAGUCUAGAAUAUCUAAGCUAUCCGUAAAGCAAGGUAAACCCCUCCCCAUAAAUAAUUUUUUGUUGGCCUUUUAACCCUUACCAUUCAUCAAUUAAAUUCACCUAACCUCUCCCCCAGAUCGUAUUUAAAAUGGCAGUUUGGAGGGCUGACAACAUCAAAAACACAAGAGAGGUUAGGCGCAAUUUAGUGCAAAACAGUUCGAUGACGCAGUUGUUGACAGCUGUGGACGUAGUUCUCCAAACAUCCGAUAGAUCCCUGCACAAGACAGAGGCGGCGAACUACGUCCGAUACAUGAGCUUACGCUAGGUGAACAGGUUUGUCGGAUCAGGUCCGACACAUGAUCGGAACGGGAAAAUAAAAAUGUUGGACCACAUCUGACACAUGAGUGGUAAGGUUUAAUAUCUGAGGGGUCCGCAAUCCACCC